GUGUUUGUUACCUCCCCUGCGCUGGAACCGUCACGGCCGCAGGUCGCCCAGCAGAGAAAACGGAGAUAACAUGCGGCCGCCCAAAGCGGGACCUCAAGAUCUCAACUGCUUCUUGACCUUCUGUGCUACGUAGAUACCGUCAGAAACACCCAUACUUACACUGUUUCAUCUGCCAACUCCAACUCUACUGGGGGCUACAUGGAGAAGGAAGCAGGCUUUAGCCUCCCAUGAUGGACUUCAUCUCCCAGUUCCCUUCUGAGGCCCUGGGAACUUGCAUGGCACCAGUAAGGUACUGUGGUUACUCUUCAACUCUCUAAUUUGGUGAGUAAGGAAAAUUCAUGCUGCUGGGCAGAAAGCACAUCUUCCGAACAUUUGCAAUCCACUGUCUGCUAUUGGAAAUCCACUUCUAUGGGUCAGCCACCUAUUUAACAACAAAUACAAGAUUUCAGUUGUUCAGCACACAGAGAAUCACAGAAGGCAUGGAGAACUUCCUUAUAUGCCACUGGGGCCUUUUAGAUACAGGUACCUAAAAAUUUCGAUACCACAUUGUCUGCAGCUUUUGCAAAUCCAUCCUCACCCGGUGUUCUUACUGACUCUUUGUCUAAUCCAUUGUCUCACUAUUUUCUUUUCUAUGUGAUAAUUUGGGUACAGUAGGGAUCCUGUCUCAUAUUCAGUGUAGAACAAGCAAAACCCAUCCAAUCAUGGUUCUGCAAUCCUAGAGCCUUCUUUACAGUGUAAGUUUUUUGUUGGGCUUUCCUUAUUAUUACUGUUCUUUUUAACAUAAUAUUUUGUAAGGUUUAACAACAUGUUUGGUCUUGCAAAAGAUGACUGCAGCUGAUGUUAUGUGGACAAUUAAAAGGAUUUAAUUCCUGUGCAGAUCACCUUCAUGUGUGUUGUAGAGCUCUAACUGGUCUCUUCUCAUUUUAUCUCUAGGCUACUACCCAGAUGGAUUAUUAGGUCUGAACUAAAGAUCACAUCUUCCCUUAAUAAAUUCUCUUGAACCACUA
Molecule: long non-coding RNA, 1007 nt
Organism: Strigops habroptila (Kakapo)
Lineage: Eukaryota; Metazoa; Chordata; Aves; Psittaciformes; Psittacidae
Exons: 2
Source: RefSeq, a predicted model, not a curated record